AGAGUUUGAUCAUGGCUCAGGACGAACGCUGGCGGCGUGCCUAACACAUGCAAGUCGAACGGGGUAGCAAUACCCAGUGGCAAACGGGUGCGUAACACGUGAGGAACUUGUCUAUCGGUGGGGGAUAGCCGGCCCAACGGCCGGGUAAUACCGCGUACGACCUUCGAGGGGCAUCCCUUGAUGAUGAAAGCAGCAAUGCGUCGAUAGAGGGCCUCGCGGCCUAUCAGCUAGUUGGUGAGGUCACGGCUCACCAAGGCAACGACGGGUAGCUGGUCCGAGAGGAUGACCAGCCACAUUGGGACUGAGACACGGCCCAGACACCUACGGGAGGCAGCAGUGGGGAAUCUUGCGCAAUGGGCGAAAGCCUGACGCAGCGACGCCGCGUGUGGGAUGAAGGCCUUCGGGUUGUAAACCACUGUCGGGAGGGACGAAGCUCUGACGGUACCUCCAAAGGAAGCACCGGCUAACUCUGUGCCAGCAGCCGCGGUAAUACAGAGGGUGCGAGCGUUGUCCGGAAUUACUGGGCGUAAAGGGCGCGUAGGCGGCCUGAUAAGUCGGGGGUGAAAUUCAGCGGCUCAACCGCUGGACUGCCUUCGAGACUGUUAGGCUCGAGCACGGUAGAGGCUGGUGGAAUUCCCGGUGUAGCGGUGGAAUGCGUAGAGAUCGGGAAGAACAUCGGUGGCGAAGGCGGCCAGCUGGGCUGUUGCUGACGCUGAUGCGCGACUGCGUGGGGAGCAAACAGGAUUAGAUACUCCUGGUAGUCCACGCCGUAAACGAUGGGCACUAGGCGCCGGGGGGAGCGACCUCUUCGGUGCCGUCGUUAACACAGUAAGUGCUCGUCUGGGGAGUACGGCGCAAGGCUGAAACUCAAAGGAAUUG
This 879-nucleotide ribosomal RNA is filed under the name uncultured bacterium. Its description in RNAcentral is "bacterial SSU rRNA". It matches the Rfam family "Bacterial small subunit ribosomal RNA", at positions 8 to 912 of the family's 1533-position model. The record is from RNAcentral.